GUGCGCCUACACAUGCAAGUCGAGCGGUAGAAUUAUUAUUGAAUCUUCGGAUGAUUUAAUAAUUUGAGAGCGGCGAACGGGUGAGUAACACGUUGGUAUCUGCCCCCAAGUCAGGGAUAGCCAUUGGAAACGAUGAUUAAUACCGGAUAGUCUCUUCGGAGUAAAGAUUUAUUGCUUGGGGAGGAACCUGCGUUCUAUCAGCUAGUUGGUGAGGUAAAAGCUCACCAAGGCUAUGACGGAUACCUGGUCUGAGAGGAUGAUCAGGCACAAUGGAACUGAGACACGGUCCAUACUCCUACGGGAGGCAGCAGUGAGGAAUCUUCCACAAUGGGCGAAAGCCUGAUGGAGCGACACCGCGUGAAGGAUGAAGGCCUAACGGUUGUAAACUUCUUUUCUGAAGGAGCAUAAUGAGAGUACUUCAGGAAUAAGGGACGGCUAAAUACGUGCCAGCAGCCGCGGUAAUACGUAUGUCUCGAGCGUUACCCGGAAUCACUGGGUGUAAAGGGUUUGUAGGCGGCUUGUUAAGUUGGAUAUGAAAGACCGGAGCUCAACUCCGAGUUUGUGUUCAAAACUGGCAAGCUAGAAUCAAGGAGAGGUAAGCGGAAUUCUAAGUGUAGGGGUGCAAUCCGUA
RNAcentral lists this ribosomal RNA (631 nucleotides) under uncultured bacterium. RNAcentral's name for it is "bacterial SSU rRNA". It matches the Rfam family "Bacterial small subunit ribosomal RNA", at positions 42 to 692 of the family's 1533-position model. The record is from RNAcentral.